GCCUCCAGGGUCUGCAUGUGAAGAGAAGACUUGACCACUGGCAGGGCCAGGCCCAGGAGGGGCAUAGCUGGAGAGGCUUCAGGCCAUAAUGAGGGACCCCACGGUGGGACGAAGGGACCUUCCCAUCAGGGAGCUGACUGGCCGUGAGGAAGAGCUGGUGGUGAAUCCAAACCUGGUGCUUUUGUGAACACUUGAGUUGUCAGAAAAGACCUUAUCUGUGAGUGUCACGGAACAGCUCAGCAGACCCUCCAACCAACAACACCGUCACUCCUGGAGGGCUUUCCCCGGCAGGUAUGGGAUUCUGAGGCUGAUUGUGGCAUGGAGGUGCGCUCACCCGGCCACUCAGGGCUUCUGGCUUCUAGUAACAUCUAUUUCACUCCACCCAGCUGCUUAACCAAUAUCCUGAUUGCCCUUAAUAAGGGAAAGUUUUAAAAAAUAAGGAUUUUUUUUUAAGAGACAGCAUGACAUGGGAAAUAGAAAAGUGUAAUCUUUCCACAGAAAGAUACUUUCUAUCUCCAAAGUCCAUGUUCUUCCCACUAUACUAUACUGCUUAUGGUCCAAAUUGUUUUCAGCAGACCCCAAUCUGUCUACACAUGAUAGGCCUUUGAGGAGCUGUUAAAAAUUAUGACUACC
Orcinus orca (killer whale) is the source of this 633-nucleotide long non-coding RNA. RefSeq lists it as uncharacterized. The record is from RefSeq and is a predicted model, not a curated record. The transcript is spliced from 2 exons. NCBI's taxonomy places the organism in Eukaryota, Metazoa, Chordata, Mammalia, Artiodactyla, Delphinidae.